This 465-nucleotide ribosomal RNA is filed under the name uncultured bacterium. Its description in RNAcentral is "partial 16S ribosomal RNA". It matches the Rfam family "Bacterial small subunit ribosomal RNA", at positions 330 to 793 of the family's 1533-position model. The record is from RNAcentral.
CCCAGACUCCUACGGGAGGCAGCAGUGAGGAAUAUUGGUCAAUGGGCGGGAGCCUGAACCAGCCAUGCCGCGUGAAGGCGAGUGCCCUACGGGCGUUAAACUUCUUUUGUGCGGGAGCAAUAAGGGCCACGUGUGGCCCGAUGAGAGUACCGCACGAAUAAGCAUCGGCUAACUCCGUGCCAGCAGCCGCGGUAAUACGGAGGAUGCGAGCGUUAUCCGGAUUUAUUGGGUUUAAAGGGUGCGCAGGCGGCACGGCAAGCCGGCGGUCAAAUCGCGGGGCUCAACCCCGCCCAGCCGUCGGAACUGCCGGGCUAGAGUGGGCGAGAAGUGCGCGGAAUGCGUGGUGUAGCGGUGAAAUGCAUAGAUAUCACGCAGAACUCCGAUUGCGAAGGCAGCAUACCGGCGCCCAACUGACGCUGAAGCACGAAAGCGUGGGUAUCGAACAGGAUUAGAUACCCCAGUACG